GGCCUCUUGUGGUCACAAGGGUGCAUGUCAACAUAUUUGCCUCCCUCUCCAGGUCUGUCUUGCUCCACCCAAGUAUUCUUUUCAUCCAAGCCCUGAAAUGAGAGAACUUCCUGGAACUGUGUAGUCAUAUGUUGCUUCUAUGGGGAGGCCAUGGGACCCCUCAGCUGAUCUUCCAGUCAAGAGAGAGCUCUCUGAUUCUGAAGUCAAUCUCGAAGAGGAGUGUUUUGCUUGCUGGCCAAUCCUGUUUGCUGGAAAUCCCCUGGACUCCUUGAGAUGGCUAUGCACCUCUGGGGAGAGCUUACUCUUAGCACUUAGGACUCCCCUGGCAUAUGCUCAGCUCAUUCCUUACAGGCUGCUUCAUCAGCCUUGACAAGCCCCUUCUGUGUGAAGGAAGGUAGCUCAGGAUUCCCUGGCCUCCCUGGAAGAAAGGUGAGUGUAGCAGGCCUCAUCGCCCGUAUUAUGCCUGUUCUCCCCUGCCUCCUCCUUGGUAAGCAUCCAAUAACAAGGAACAAAAACGAAACAGGUGAGAUUGGUACUCAGGUCUGCUCCUGUUUGAGUUGUUU
This 563-nucleotide long non-coding RNA is filed under the name Phascolarctos cinereus (koala). RNAcentral's name for it is "lncRNA (ENSPCIG00000002994.2)". Lineage: Eukaryota; Metazoa; Chordata; Mammalia; Diprotodontia; Phascolarctidae. The record is from RNAcentral.